GACGAACGCUGGCGGCGUGCUUAACACAUGCAAGUCGAACGGAAAGGCCCUGCUUUUGUGGGGUGCUCGAGUGGCGAACGGGUGAGUAACACGUGAGUAACCUGCCCUUGACUUUGGGAUAACUUCAGGAAACUGGGGCUAAUACCGGAUAGGAGCUCCUGCUGCAUGGGGGGGGUUGGAAAGUUUCGGCGGUUGGGGAUGGACUCGCGGCUUAUCAGCUUGUUGGUGGGGUAGUGGCUUACCAAGGCUUUGACGGGUAGCCGGCCUGAGAGGGUGACCGGCCACAUUGGGACUGAGAUACGGCCCAGACUCCUACGGGAGGCAGCAGUGGGGAAUAUUGCAGAAUGGGCGGAAGCCUGAGACAGCAACGCCGCGUGCGGAAUGACGGCCUUCGGGUUGUAAACCGCUUUCGCCUGUGACGAAGCGUGAGUGACGGUAAUGGGUAAAGAAGCACCGGCUAACUACGUG
Molecule: ribosomal RNA, 468 nt
Filed under: uncultured bacterium
Lineage: Bacteria
Description: partial 16S ribosomal RNA
Rfam family: Bacterial small subunit ribosomal RNA
Source: RNAcentral